Molecule: ribosomal RNA, 207 nt
Filed under: uncultured bacterium
Lineage: Bacteria
Description: partial 16S ribosomal RNA
Rfam family: Bacterial small subunit ribosomal RNA
Source: RNAcentral
CGCGCAGGCGGGUUUGUCAGUCAGGGGUGAUAUCCUACAGCUUAACUGUAGAACUGCCUUUGAUACUGCAAACCUUGAGUUCGGAAGAGAGAGGCGGAAUUCCAGGUGUAGUGGUGAAAUACGUAGAUAUCUGGAAGAACACCAGAGGCGAAGGCGGUCUCUUGGUCCGUAACUGACGCUGAGGCGCGAAAGCGUGGGGAGCAAACA